UACAUGGGGUGCAAACGUUGCUCGGAAUUAUUGGGCGUAAAGCGCGCGUGGGCGGUUACUUAAGUCGGAUGUGAAAGCCCUCGGCUUAACUGAGGAAGUGCACCCGAAACUGAGUAGCUAGAGUACGAAAGAGGGUCGCGGAAUUCCCGGUGUAGAGGUGAAAUUCGUAGAUAUCGGGAGGAACACCGGUGGCGAAGGCGGCGACCUGGGUCGAGACUGACGCUGAGGCGCGAAAGCGUGGGGAGCAAACAGG
RNAcentral lists this ribosomal RNA (253 nucleotides) under uncultured bacterium. RNAcentral describes it as "partial 16S ribosomal RNA". It matches the Rfam family "Bacterial small subunit ribosomal RNA", at positions 524 to 776 of the family's 1533-position model. The record is from RNAcentral.